Molecule: transfer RNA, 73 nt
Filed under: Clostridioides difficile
Lineage: Bacteria; Bacillati; Bacillota; Clostridia; Peptostreptococcales; Peptostreptococcaceae
Also listed under: 7 other names
Description: tRNA-Met
Rfam family: tRNA
About the family: Transfer RNA (tRNA) molecules are approximately 80 nucleotides in length. Their secondary structure includes four short double-helical elements and three loops (D, anti-codon, and T loops).
Source: RNAcentral
AGCAGGAUAAUGCAAAUGGUAGCAAAUUUGGCUCAUUACCAAAAAGUUGAGGGUUCGAAUCCCUCUCCUGCAA